RNAcentral lists this ribosomal RNA (406 nucleotides) under uncultured Hyphomicrobiales bacterium. Its description in RNAcentral is "bacterial SSU rRNA". It matches the Rfam family "Bacterial small subunit ribosomal RNA", at positions 29 to 478 of the family's 1533-position model. The record is from RNAcentral. Lineage: Bacteria; Pseudomonadati; Pseudomonadota; Alphaproteobacteria; Hyphomicrobiales.
AACGAACGCUGGCGGCAGGCUUAACACAUGCAAGUCGAACGGUUGUAGCAAUACAGCAGUGGCAGACGGGUGAGUAACACGUGGGAACCUUCCUAGGGGUACGGAACAACUCAGGGAAACUUGAGCUAAUACCGUAUACGUCCGUGAGGAGAAAGAUUUAUCGCCCUUAGACGGGCCCGCGUAGGAUUAGGUAGUUGGUGAGGUAACGGCUCACCAAGCCUACGAUCCUUAGCUGAUCUGAGAGGAUGAUCAGCCACACUGGGACUGAGACACGGCCCAGACUCCUACGGGAGGCAGCAGUGGGGAAUCUUGGACAAUGGGCGCAAGCCUGACCCAGCCAUGCCGCGUGAGUGAAGAAGGCCUUCGGGUUGUAAAGCUCUUUUACCAGGGACGAUAAUGACGGUAC